CGUCUCGUGAUGUCAUGUUCUUUAAUGUUUAAAAGCCCAAGAGUUCUCCUUGGCUUUUAUCUCAGUCAGGUUCUACCACUGAUAACCUUAGGACUCAGUACAGGCUUAAGGUGAAUCUCUAUUGUAUUAACCAUGCGACCUCAGGAAACCAACAAUGAAGUGACCAAAUUAGGGAGUAAGUUAUAUUCACAAUAAAAUAUCUCAAUGUACAAACUUAAUGGUUCAGAAAUAUCAACUUUUUUGUCUCUGCUUUCCAGCUACCUACUACACGGUGAUGGAGAGGGCCCUCUUAACACCCCGUGAAAAAUACAGCGAGCCUAUCACCGAUAGCAUGAACAUUGGAUGGCAUGUCAACAAGGAGAACACAGCAGAGGCUUCAGUUCAAAGGAAAUUUGGAAGGCGGGUCACUGAUGUUACCAGUUUUUCGAGCAAUUUUCCCAUGUGCCGCCAGCAUAGUCCUCCCCCAAGGAAGACCACCGCCGAUCACCCACGCCCCGUCAUGGGGCGGGCCCCCAAAACCAGCACAGACUGGAGGACAGCAGACCCCAAAGCACCAGCCCCACCAGCUACCCAUUACAAUAUGAUGGAGAGGGCCCGCUUAACGCCCCAUGAAAAAUACACCCAGCCUAUCACCA
Molecule: long non-coding RNA, 635 nt
Filed under: Gouania willdenowi (blunt-snouted clingfish)
Lineage: Eukaryota; Metazoa; Chordata; Actinopteri; Blenniiformes; Gobiesocidae
Description: lncRNA (ENSGWIG00000023752.1)
Source: RNAcentral